Molecule: small RNA, 362 nt
Filed under: Pongo abelii (Sumatran orangutan)
Lineage: Eukaryota; Metazoa; Chordata; Mammalia; Primates; Hominidae
Description: retained intron
Source: RNAcentral
CAGAGCCUGCAAAAGACCAGCAACAGAAGGCAGCUCAACACCACACAGAGGAACAAAGCAAGGUGCCCCCAGAGCAGAAGGGAAAGGCGGGCUCUACCUCAUGGACCGGGUUCCAGACCAAGGCUGAAGUGGAGCAGGUGGAGCUGCCUGAUGGAAAGAAGAGAAGAAAGGUCCUGGCGCUCCCCUCACACCAAGGCCCCAAAAUCAGGUUGCGGGACAAAGGCAAAGUGAAGCCCGUCCAUCCCAAAAAGCCAAAGCCCCAGAUAAACCAGUGGAAGCAGGAGAAACAGCAAUUAUCUUCCGAGCAGGUGAGUUCUGCUAGGUCGUAGCCAUGUUUGUACCUUGGUUAGUUGAGCAAAAAA